This 1900-nucleotide long non-coding RNA is filed under the name Zostera marina. RNAcentral's name for it is "long non-coding RNA (ZMAR_LNC000411)". The record is from RNAcentral. Lineage: Eukaryota; Viridiplantae; Streptophyta; Magnoliopsida; Alismatales; Zosteraceae.
UCCCACAUCGUCUUUUCUUCCAACAUCGCGAUUUCCUAACCCAACGACAUUCCUCCGGUGAUUUCCCAACCCUCCAGCGACGUUCCUCCGGUGAUUUCCCAACCCUUCAGCAACGUUUCUCUGGUGAUUUCCCAACCCUCCAGCAACGCAGCGAGGAGUUCCUCCGGUGAAUUCCCAACCCUCCAGCGACGUUUUUCCGGUGAUUUCCCAACCCUCCAGCGACGCGGCGAGGAGUUCCACCGGUGGCAGCAGCAACGUUCCUCUGGUGAGAAUUCGAACAGGUAGCUCAAAUGUUUUGUUAAUUUAUCUAUUUUGGAUCGAGAUUCUUCGAUGCGUUGGAUCAAUGAUUUGGUAUUUUGUCAUUCUUUGUGUUUGAUCUCACGACUAGGGAUGUGGAUUUAAAAUAAAUUAACAGAAAACAUAAAAUAUCGUAUUUUAAUUUGAUUUCAAGACGUGUGAUUUUUUAAAAUUGAAUUAUACUUCUUAAAAUGUUGGUUGACGAUGAACAUUUCUUUUCUGUUUUUCUAUGUUUAAAAAAAUUAUUAUUAUUAUUUGGAGAAUUAGAAUUGUAGAAGGUAGAAGAAAAUGCACAUUAAUACUAGAACAUUGUUUUUUACGAUUUGAACUUCUCAUUCAUUCUAGGCUGUAGUAUAUAUUAAAGUACACUUGAUGUUUUUUGGUCCAUAUAUAAUAUAUAUGCAAACAUAUUUUGAAUGUAAACUGUAAAGUAUUCAAAGGGGAAAAAAAUAGUGUCAUUUGAGUCAAAGUAGAUACCGACUUAUUCACAGACUUAUUCACAUUUCCACCGACAAACAAACAUGAAUACAUGAUGUUUCAUGUAAUGUUUGAUUUCAUUAGUAUAAUCUUCAUAUAAAAAAAUCUCAAUUGAAUUGCAUCAAGGUAUUUUUCAAUGAUAGUACAUCAGUUGAAUCGAGUACAGGACAAAAUUCAGAUAAAGUAAACCUUGAUUUUAUUUUAUUUGAAAUAAAAUACUCCAAUCUUGAAAUAUCAUAAGAAGCUUUUCCUCUUUUUAUAUAAAUUUUUCCCUCUUGACCACAUGUAUUUCUUCUGUUUUUCUUUUCUUCUGUUUUUCUCAACUGUGAGAUCUCGUAAGAACUAAUUGAAAUUUAAAUUUCAUGAACUUCUCGUUAUAUAGUAUUUGCUGUUUAAAUUUCUCCGCGAAAAAUUUGUAUCUGAGUAUGCUUCCAUUGUAUGUUAAAAUUUUAAGGAUUGUCGUUUGUAUUCAUCUUCAUUUGUAUGUUGUUGAUAUAUGUUUAUUUGCAGGUUUAAUUUUAUGUUAUAUAUGUUUAAAUUAUCAUUAAAAGUAAAAUGGUAAUGGCAAAAUUUUAAAAAAUUGAAACAAUUAAUUCUAACUGUAAUUUAAUAUAGUUUAUUCCAAACUCACAGGUGUUGGUGUUAAAGAAGGGUUUCUUCCAAAGAUUUAUUCCAAACUCAAAGGUGUAUUUGAAACUUCACAAAAAAAUCGAAGUACGUAAUUUCUGAUUUUAAUUAUCAUUUUAGUUUAUUAAUCUAAUUUUUUUAAAUGCAUUACUUAAUUAUUGUUUAGUUAAUUUUAAUUAUCAUUUUAGUAUAGUAAUUUCAAGCGACGAUGAAGUCGGCGAAAACAGCGAUGGGAUGAGUGUGAAUGAUAACUAUAGUUAGUCGAAUAAUAGUUUAGUAAACUUAUGUGAAAUUUAUGUUUUGGUAAUAUCUUCAUUGAAUGAAAUUAUGUAAAAUGUUUUUAUUAUAUAUUGAAUGAAAUUCUCUAUUUAGGUUGGCUAAAUUAUAAUGGAAUUGAAAUUACAAUAAGGUUAUGGCAAAAUUUAAAUUGUCAUUAAUUAGAAUUAUGUCGUUUACGUACAUUUAAAAACUAAACACGUAUUUUUUAUCUGUUUUGUAG